This 2820-nucleotide ribosomal RNA is filed under the name Triticum aestivum (bread wheat). Its description in RNAcentral is "partial small subunit ribosomal RNA". The record is from RNAcentral. Lineage: Eukaryota; Viridiplantae; Streptophyta; Magnoliopsida; Poales; Poaceae.
AUGUACUCUUCGCUCCACGCCGCCGACUCCGACUCCGACGAUUCCCUCCUCUCCGACGUAUCCGCCUCCCCGACUCGCCGGUGCUCACCAGCACCUCGCCCGGCACCGCCCAAGCACCGUCCCACGCCAGAUCCCACAUCCAAACCCAAACGCAAGCCCAAACCCAAGCCCAAGCCCGUACCCAGCUCUACCUCCGCCCCCGCCUCCGCCUCCGCCUCCGCCUCCGCGCCUCCGAUCCGCGCCGCCGCCCUCUCCGACCCGCACGGCCUCGCGGCGCGCAUCGCCCCGGGGUCAGCGCUCACCGCCAGCGCCAGCACAGUCUCCUUCUCCUCCUUCCGCCGCCUCGUCCAGUCUCGCAACCUCUCAUUCGAACCAGCCGCCGCAUUCUCGAACCCCGCCCCCGCGCCCGAGCUCGAGCCUGAGCCUGAGUCCGAGCCCGCGGAGAUACCAAGCGCCGAGCCGUCCCCGCCCCCGGCAGCCACCCACCCGCCGCCGCAGCUCAGGCCCAAGCGGGUGCACCCCAACUCGGUGUCGGAGGCCCCUGCCGCCGCGGCCGAACAGCCGAAGCGGCCGAGAGGGGACCCCGGCAACUUCGUUCGGCUCAACAUCAAUGGGUACGGCCGGAAGAAGUCGUUCAAGUCGCAGGCCAGGCGCCCGACGAAAUACCGCUCCUGGAAGCGGCAGCAGCCCGGCGGUGGAAAGCCCCGGGCAGGUGCCGAUGAGGAAGGGGAUUUCGUAGCGGAGGCGCUCCUCGAGCGGGAGAAGAAUUCGGCGGCAGGUGAUGACGGUGUUCUCAAGGUUGUUGAGGUAGCCAGAGAGGACCCGUCCGAGCAGAAUCUCGAGGGUUUGCUCAGGAAGGUGUUUGGUUAUGAUUCGUUCCGCGAGGGUCAGCUUGAGGCCAUCCAGAAUGUAGUUGCAGGGGAGUCGACGGUGCUUGUGCUGCCCACCGGCGCGGGCAAGUCACUGUGCUAUCAGUUGCCCGCUAUGAUUUUGCCUGGAUUGACGCUGGUGGUGAGCCCAUUGCUGUCCUUGAUGGUUGAUCAAUUGAGGAAGCUCCCUGCAUUUCUCCCAGGAGGCCUUCUUGCGAGUAGUCAGACGAGUGAUGAGUUUCAUGGAACAUUACGGCUGUUGCGUGCAGGGGAAAUAAAGGUUCUUUUUGUUUCCCCUGAGAGAUUCUUGAAUGAAGAAUUUCUGCAGAUACUCGGGGACACACUCCCAAUAUCUCUUGUGGUCAUUGAUGAAGCCCAUUGCAUUUCUGAAUGGUCUCAUAAUUUUAGACCUUCAUAUCUAAGGCUUCGAGCAUCACUACUUCGGAGAAAGCUUAAUAUUCAAUGUAUUCUUGCAAUGACUGCAACUGCAACAACUCAAACCUUGCAGGAGAUAGUUAAUGCCUUAGAAAUUCCAUCUGGUAAUCUUAUCCAGACAUCUCAAAUUAGGGAAAAUCUAAAGCUGUCUAUCAGCAUGAGUGAUAACAGGCUGAAGGAUUUAAUGUUGCUAUUAAAGUCUCCCCCUUUUGUCAAUAUGAGAAGUAUUAUCGUCUAUUGCAAAUUUCAGACAGAAACGGAUUAUGUUUGUAAGCACUUGUGUGAUAACAACAUUAAUGCCAAGAGCUACCAUAGUGGACUUUUGAUGAAAAAGAGGAGCCGGGUACAGGAGCUGUUCUGCUCUAACAAAAUAAGAGUGGUUGUUGCAACUGUGGCGUUUGGCAUGGGUCUUGAUAAGAGUGAUGUCGAAGGGGUGAUCCACUAUAGGUUGCCAGAAAGCCUUGAAGAGUACAUACAGGAAACUGGACGUGCUGGAAGGGAUGGACGGUUAUCACACUGUCACCUUCUUUUUGAUUCAACAACAUUCUAUAAGAUUCGCAGUCUUUCACACAGCGAUGGCAUUGAUGAAUAUGCAAUGAGCAAAUUUCUUAACCAGAUAUUCUCCUCCGGCAACACGAUGGGGUGCAUCUGUUCCUUCCCUAAAGAGUCUACUUCACGCAAGUUUGAUAUAAAAGAAGAGGUGCUUUUAACAGUCCUCACACAGCUGGAAAUUGGCGAGGAGCAAUAUCUCCAUUUACUUCCUCAGUUCAGUGUUACCUGCACACUGUAUUUUCACAAGACAUCACCGCAACUGCUUGCUGACAAGGAUAUACUACUUAGAUCAAUUCUAAAUAAGUCUGAAAUGAAGGAUGGCAGUUAUGUCUUCGAAGUACCAAGAGUAGCUAAUGAUAUGAGGAUCACAAUGAAUGAAGUGUUUGAUCGUUUGCAAAAGCUAAAGUUUUCAGGAGAACUAUCUUAUGAAUUGAAAGACCCAGCCUACUGUUAUAUGAUCUUAAAAAGGCCAGAUGACUUGAACGCUCUUUCAGCAAAUCUCACAAAAUGGCUUUCUGAAGUAGAAAACUCAAAGAUCAGGAAACUAGACGCUAUGUUUGCUCUCGCGUACUAUGCUGUCAAAGGUUGUAAAAAGACAGAUGGCUGUUCUGGUUCUGAGCACACCCCAUGCAUCCAGAAGAGGAUUAUAGACUACUUCAGCAAGAAGGAAGGCACACCAGACGAUGAUUACUGUACUCCCCUCCGCAAGAGCAGAACAUUUGAUUUUGCUUCCUGCAGCACGUUCUUGCAGUCUGAUAUAAAGGUAUUCCUCCAGAGCAAUUCGUUUGCCAAAUUCACCCCGAGGGCCGUCGCGAGGAUUAUGCACGGCAUCUCCAGCCCGGCUUUUCCAGCUGCUACCUGGGCCAAAAACCACUUCUGGGGACGCUAUAUGGAGGUUGAUUUUCCAGUGGUCAUAGAAGCCGCCAAAGCAGAGCUAGUUAAAUUCGUUGGAAAGGGUGAAUAA